GCACCAUGGAGUCCGAUGUCCGACUCCUGCAACGCGCCCGACUGACUGUCGGAGGGGCCCGGAUCUUCACCUGACGCCCCUCAGCUGACCACCGACCUAUGGUCGGUCGGCUCCUCCAAUCGCCGUACUACUGCCAGAGACUGUCAGCCCUGACAACGGCAUGCGGCACUGCCGCCUAGGGGCAUUAUCCCAACUAAGGCAUGGUCAACCCUAGCGAUUUGACAGCCCCAUGGCGAUUUGACACCCUCACGACGGCUCUGACAGUCCUCAGUGAGUUGACAAUACUUCAAUUGUCCGUGCCAUUAAUGACGGCGCCAUACC
This 321-nucleotide long non-coding RNA is filed under the name Elaeis guineensis (African oil palm). RNAcentral describes it as "long non-coding RNA (EGUI_LNC077412)". Lineage: Eukaryota; Viridiplantae; Streptophyta; Magnoliopsida; Arecales; Arecaceae. The record is from RNAcentral.